This 84-nucleotide transfer RNA is filed under the name Trametes cinnabarina. RNAcentral's name for it is "Pycnoporus cinnabarinus tRNA". It matches the Rfam family "tRNA". Rfam says of the family: Transfer RNA (tRNA) molecules are approximately 80 nucleotides in length. Their secondary structure includes four short double-helical elements and three loops (D, anti-codon, and T loops). Further hydrogen bonds mediate the characteristic L-shaped molecular structure. tRNAs have two regions of fundamental functional importance: the anti-codon, which is responsible for specific mRNA codon recognition, and the 3' end, to which the tRNAs corresponding amino acid is attached (by aminoacyl-tRNA synthetases). tRNAs cope with the degeneracy of the genetic code in two manners: having more than one tRNA (with a specific anti-codon) for a particular amino acid; and 'wobble' base-pairing, i.e. permitting non-standard base-pairing at the 3rd anti-codon position. The record is from Rfam by way of RNAcentral. Lineage: Eukaryota; Fungi; Basidiomycota; Agaricomycetes; Polyporales; Polyporaceae.
GCCCGCCUAGCUCAAUCGGAUAGAGCGUCAGACUCUUAUGAUCGGGUGAUCUGAAGGCUGCGAGUUCGACCCUCGCGGUGGGCU